AUGAACUGCAGAGCAUUCUACUUGUUAGAAACACAUGAUAAAAUCCUAACAUUUUGUUGACAGAAAAACCACUACUGUAUUUCAGAAAUGCUUCAGUAAUACAUUAAGGAAUGUGAAAAUUUUGGUUACACACCCAACUUUCUAGAGAGCCAGAGGGUGCUUAAACAAGCUUAAAACUUUGAACCUUACUUGUAUCAUUUGGAUUGUGACGAGGUUUGCAGCUCUGAGGAUUGAGGAGAAUAUUCUCUUUAGUACUGGGUUGGCAGGCACUUUUGAUUGGCUUACAGAAUUGUUUCAUGGUAGUUUGAGGUAAAGCAGUUGGGACUGUGUCAUGAGUCGCUAUUCCAGCCUGAAAACACCUGCCACUGCUGAAGUCAUCUGCUGAAAUUACACCCAUCACUUCAAUUUCUUUUCCUCCGAUCAUCAGUGUUUGACCUUCCUCAAGACUGUCUAACUCUUUAGAUUUAUAUCCAGAACCUCUGCCAAUGUCUUUGCCUUCCAUGUCUUUCAAUAUUACUGACUUUCCUUUUGUAAUAAGAAUAGCAUCGCCU
This 551-nucleotide long non-coding RNA is filed under the name Gallus gallus (chicken). The record is from RNAcentral. Lineage: Eukaryota; Metazoa; Chordata; Aves; Galliformes; Phasianidae.